This 65-nucleotide transfer RNA is filed under the name Pelomedusa subrufa. RNAcentral describes it as "tRNA-Val". Lineage: Eukaryota; Metazoa; Chordata; Testudines; Pelomedusidae. The record is from RNAcentral.
CAAAAUAUAGCUUACCUUAAAGCAGUCAGCUUACACCUGAACGAUGUCCAAAUGGACUAUUUUGA